RNAcentral lists this non-coding RNA (29 nucleotides) under Rattus norvegicus (Norway rat). The record is from RNAcentral. Lineage: Eukaryota; Metazoa; Chordata; Mammalia; Rodentia; Muridae.
UAAGUUGUUUUAGGAGAAUAUAGUUUGUU